AGUGAACGCUGGCGGUAGGCCUAACACAUGCAAGUCGAACGGCAGCACAGUAAGAGCUUGCUCUUACGGGUGGCGAGUGGCGGACGGGUGAGGAAUACAUCGGAAUCUACUUUUUCGUGGGGGAUAACGUAGGGAAGCUUACGCUAAUACCGCAUACGACCUACGGGUGAAAGCAGGGGAUCUUCGGACCUUGCGCGAUUGAAUGAGCCGAUGUCGGAUUAGCUAGUUGGCGGGGUAAAGGCCCACCAAGGCGACGAUCCGUAGCUGGUCUGAGAGGAUGAUCAGCCACACUGGAACUGAGACACGGUCCAGACUCCUACGGGAGGCAGCAGUGGGGAAUAUUGGACAAUGGGCGCAAGCCUGAUCCAGCCAUACCGCGUGGGUGAAGAAGGCCUUCGGGUUGUAAAGCCCUUUUGUUGGGAAGAAAAGCAGCAGGUUAAUACCCCGCUGUUCUGACGGUACCCAAAGAAUAAGCACCGGCUAACUUCGUG
RNAcentral lists this ribosomal RNA (491 nucleotides) under uncultured bacterium. RNAcentral describes it as "partial 16S ribosomal RNA". It matches the Rfam family "Bacterial small subunit ribosomal RNA", at positions 29 to 507 of the family's 1533-position model. The record is from RNAcentral.